GUGGGGAAUAUUGGACAAUGGGCGAAAGCCUGAUCCAGCAAUGCCGCGUGAGUGAUGAAGGCCUUAGGGUUGUAAAGCUCUUUUACCAGGGAUGAUAAUGACAGUACCUGGAGAAUAAGCUCCGGCUAACUCCGUGCCAGCAGCCGCGGUAAUACGGAGGGAGCUAGCGUUGUUCGGAAUUACUGGGCGUAAAGCGCGCGUAGGCGGUCUAUUAAGUCAGGGGUGAAAUCCCGGGGCUCAACCCCGGAACUGCCCUUGAAACUGGCAGACUAGAAUCUUGGAGAGGCGAGUGGAAUUCCGAGUGUAGAGGUGAAAUUCGUAGAUAUUCGGAAGAACACCAGUGGCGAAGGCGACUCGCUGGACAAGUAUUGACGCUGAGGUGCGAAAGCGUGGGGAGCAA
RNAcentral lists this ribosomal RNA (400 nucleotides) under uncultured bacterium. Its description in RNAcentral is "bacterial SSU rRNA". It matches the Rfam family "Bacterial small subunit ribosomal RNA", at positions 354 to 771 of the family's 1533-position model. The record is from RNAcentral.